AACUCUUAGCGGUGGAUCACUCAGCUUGUAUGUUGAUGAAGAAUGCAGUGAGCUGUGAGAACUAAUGUGAAUUGCAGGACACAAUGAUCAUCAACACUUCAAACGAACUUUGCGGCUCCAGGUCCCUCCCAGGGCCACGCCUGCCUGAGGGUUG
Scleropages formosus (Asian bonytongue) is the source of this 154-nucleotide ribosomal RNA. It matches the Rfam family "5.8S ribosomal RNA". Rfam says of the family: 5.8S ribosomal RNA (5.8S rRNA) is a component of the large subunit of the eukaryotic ribosome. It is transcribed by RNA polymerase I as part of the 45S precursor that also contains 18S and 28S rRNA. Functionally, it is thought that 5.8S rRNA may be involved in ribosome translocation. The record is from Ensembl. NCBI's taxonomy places the organism in Eukaryota, Metazoa, Chordata, Actinopteri, Osteoglossiformes, Osteoglossidae.